This is a non-coding RNA of Bos taurus (domestic cattle), 72 nucleotides long. The record is from Rfam. Lineage: Eukaryota; Metazoa; Chordata; Mammalia; Artiodactyla; Bovidae.
GGGGGUGUAGCUCAGUGGUAGAGCGCGUGCUUCGCAUGUACGAGGCCCCGGGUUCAACCCCCGGCUCCUCCA